Small nuclear RNA from Choloepus didactylus (southern two-toed sloth), 103 nucleotides. Lineage: Eukaryota; Metazoa; Chordata; Mammalia; Pilosa; Megalonychidae. The record is from RefSeq and is a predicted model, not a curated record.
CUGCUUUGGUAGCAUGUAUAGUAAAAUCGAAACCAUACAGAGAAGAUUAGCAUUGCCCCUGAGCAAGGACGACAUGAAAAUUCAUAAAAUGUUCCAUAUUUUU